Molecule: transfer RNA, 78 nt
Filed under: Canis lupus familiaris (dog)
Lineage: Eukaryota; Metazoa; Chordata; Mammalia; Carnivora; Canidae
Also listed under: 1 other name
Rfam family: tRNA
About the family: Transfer RNA (tRNA) molecules are approximately 80 nucleotides in length. Their secondary structure includes four short double-helical elements and three loops (D, anti-codon, and T loops). Further hydrogen bonds mediate the characteristic L-shaped molecular structure. tRNAs have two regions of fundamental functional importance: the anti-codon, which is responsible for specific mRNA codon recognition, and the 3' end, to which the tRNAs corresponding amino acid is attached (by aminoacyl-tRNA synthetases). tRNAs cope with the degeneracy of the genetic code in two manners: having more than one tRNA (with a specific anti-codon) for a particular amino acid; and 'wobble' base-pairing, i.e. permitting non-standard base-pairing at the 3rd anti-codon position.
Source: Rfam by way of RNAcentral
GCCUGGGUGGCUCAGUCAGUUAAGCGUCUGCCUUCAGCUCAGAUCCUGGGGUCGUGGGAUAGAGUCCCGCAUCAGGCU